This 473-nucleotide long non-coding RNA is filed under the name Vigna radiata. RNAcentral describes it as "long non-coding RNA (VRAD_LNC010283)". Lineage: Eukaryota; Viridiplantae; Streptophyta; Magnoliopsida; Fabales; Fabaceae. The record is from RNAcentral.
ACUUCCAGAAAAGGGAGGUGAAUCACAAAGGAUUGCUUAAGAACCAAGCCUUUCCUAGCCAAAGCUUAUCUUAGGUACUCUUACACCAAACCUCUCAAAAGGAACGAAAAUUGAAAUUAAAGUAAACACACACUAAACUACCAAUAUUAAGGAAAACAAUAAAUCUAAACUAUGCGGCCUAAUGAUGAAUUAGAACAAUAAAUAUCCAAUGUUCUUGUUAGGACAAAUCUCUAACAAGUCAAAAAUACAAGUCCAAAAAGGAAAACAACUACAAUUUUACAAUUCAAAGAAAAUACAAACAAAUCUCUCUUUCUCACCAAGUGUAUACUCUCUUGUUUUGCGUUAUAGACCAAGACUUUAAGCUUCCCUUCAAGGCCUUCUUCACCUCUAGAUGUUACUCACUGUUUUGGGCUGUCCUCCCCAUGAUCCUCACGUUUUUUUACCAUCCAAAGACCUACACCACAAGUUAACAC